AGACGUCUACAUUAGAUACCCGGGUAGUCCCAGCCGUAAACUAUGCGCGUUAGGUGUAUCGGUGGCCACGAGUCACCGAGGUGCUGAAGGGAAACCGUGAAACGUGCCGCCUGGGAAGUACGGUCGCAAGGCUGAAACUUAAAGGAAUUGGCGGGGGAGCACAACAACGGGUGGAGCCUGCGGUUUAAUUUGGACUCAACGCCGGACAACUCACCGGGAACGACAGCAAUAUGUAGGCCAGGCUGAAGACCUUGCCUGAAUCGCUG
Molecule: ribosomal RNA, 266 nt
Filed under: uncultured archaeon
Lineage: Archaea
Description: partial 16S ribosomal RNA
Rfam family: Archaeal small subunit ribosomal RNA
Source: RNAcentral